This 6561-nucleotide long non-coding RNA is filed under the name Nicotiana benthamiana. RNAcentral's name for it is "long non-coding RNA (NBEN_LNC010786)". Lineage: Eukaryota; Viridiplantae; Streptophyta; Magnoliopsida; Solanales; Solanaceae. The record is from RNAcentral.
UAACUGCCUAGUACGAUUUUAUACUAAUUCGUACAAAUCUAUUCUGGAAUUUACGUCAUGAUCUUGGGUAUGUGGCGAGAAUAUUGUACUUCUAUAACAAACUCAUAGCGACACUGUUUUGGAGCUGGCCGUACUUGGCUCCAAUAUUCCUCGAACACUUAGGUCUUAGAUCCUCUUACUCUGCCCUCGAUCCCGGGCUUGGUCUUUAUCGAAUUCCUACCCUCGGUGCGGCGUAUCGAGCCUACUAAAUUGGGGUCUCCUGAGUUAUCUGCAUACAUGUAGGUUUUUGAGAUCCAUAGGGAUAAUGGUAAAUUCGGUAAACAUAGUACAUCUCAUAAAAUAUGUGACCUACUUUGAAAUUACCCUUUUUUCAAAAUUUAUUGAAAUUGCAUAAUUUUUAAUAGUAGUCGCUGAUAUUCUCUGCUUUGGGUAGGCAAAAUGAUAUUGUUGUACUUGUUAUUGUGCUCGAAUUGUGAGCCAGAGAUGGAGAAAUUACAGCAAUGGUGGUCGAGGAAGACAACUACAUAGUAUUAGAAAUGAAGGUUAUAAAAUGAAUUCCUUACUCCAUUUCAUAUCUCUGCAAUAUGUUAUAUACAAAGCGGACUUCAACCAAUUUAUUUGUGACAGCUCACUAACAGCUCAUCUAACUAACUAACCUAUUCUUAUCAAAUAAUUAGCACUACUCCUAACUGCAGAUAAUUCUACUAACUCUAACUAUAGUUAACUCAUACACUUAUUAAGCAACUCCACUCUAAAAAUUUCCCCUCAAGCUGGUUGUUGGAAAGACAUUAAGCACUCACAUUCUGGAAACCAAAUAUUUAUGUUGCGAUCUCAAUAGUGUUUUAGUUAUGAUGUCUACCUAUUGAUUACUUGAGCUGACAUGAUGUGUUUUCACUAUCCCUUGAUGAAUUUUUCCCUUAUGAAAGUACAAUUCACUUCUAUAUUUUUGUCCUGUCAAAAUAAACUCUACAAUCUGCAAUGUUUCUUUAUUGUCACAGUACAGAUCAACAGGUUCUCUCACUUCUGCUCCGAACUCCUUAAACAAGCUAAUUUGUCGCAUCAAUUCUGAUAAUGUAGAAGCCAUACUCAUGUAUUCUGAUUCUGUUGAGCUUCUUGAUACUGUAAUUUGCUUCUUUGAUUUCUAGAAAAUGAGUGGCUCCCCAUUCUUCACUACGAAGCCUGUAAUUGACUUCAUGGCAUUAGGGCAUGAUGCCCAGUCAACAUCACAUAAUGUUGUUAAUGUGUUGCCCUUUUUAAUACUCAUUAGUACUAUCGAUCCAGGUGUCAUCUUCAUAUAUUUUACCACUUUUAAAACUAUUGGGAAAUGGGAUUUUUUAGGUUGUUUCAUGAACUGACUAAGAGUUUGCACUGGAUAGGCAAUGUACGGCCUAGUCAUGGUCAGGUACAUCUAUGUUCCAAUCAACUUUUCAUGAUGCACUUUGUCUUCCAAUAGUUCAUCAUUUGUGUUCCAAACUGCUCUAUCAAGUUCCUUUUUUGAAAGCACUAAAGCCUAAGUUUGCUAUCAGUUCCAUAGUGUCUUUUCUUUGGUUCAUCAAGAUUACCUUAUGUGUUCUAGAGUAUUCAAUGGCCAAUAAAUACUUUAAUUCACCAAGAUCUGUCAUCUUGAAAGCUUGUUGUAAUUCCUUCUAAAUGGACUCUAUCAAACUCAUGUCACUAUCUGUGGUUAACAUGUCAUCAAUAUAGACUAAGACUACUACAAUUCUAUUGGCUUGUCUCUUAGUAAACAAGGAAUGAUCGAAUGAGUUUUUACUGAAGAGUAGGAUGAGGAGUGCAUUUGUUAACUUGACAUUCCGUUGUCUGCUAGCUUAUAUCAAUCCAUUUAAGAAUUUAACAAGUAUGCAUAUUGUAUUCUUAUCCCCUUGAAUUGUGAAACCUUGUGGAAGUUGCAUAUAGACUUUGUCAUAUAAGUCUUCGUGAGGAAAAACAUUCUAAACAUUCAUUUGGUGCAAGCGCCAAACUUCACUAGCUGCUAGACACAUCAUUGCCCUAACAAUGACAAUUUUCACUAUAGGAGAGAAAGUUUCAUUGUAGUCGAAUCCCUCCUAUUAACUGUAUAUCUUAUCUACUAGCCAGACUUUGUAUCGUUCAACAUCACCAUUAUCGCUGUAAUUAACUCUAUAGACCUAUUUGUACCCAAUAGGCACCUUGCUAGAGGGCAGUGCAAAUAGUUCCAAGGACUUGUUGUCUUCUAGAGCUUUCAACUCUGUCAGCAUAGCCGGACUGAAUUUAUAAAUGCUUCAUGAAAAGUCUAAGGUUCCACUAUGGAGGUGAAUGCAGGUAAGUAUUGCCUGUAGGAAGGUUUGAGCAUGUCAUAAGUAAUACUGGCGUGAAUGGAGUGUAUUGGCUAUGCUGUGCUCUUGGACUUUGAUCCAAUGAUGAAGUUUGUCAUCCAUGCUGGUUGGUGUUUGUGUUUUUAGACUGCCUCAGAGGCGCAUUAGAAGAAUUAGGUAAUGACAUUGCUGCAGAAGGUUGACAGAAAUGAGAAAUAUUAGUAGAUGAUCAGGUGCAAGCAAGAGAUCAUCAAAGGGUGCAGAUAGUGGGACAAUAGUAGGUGGUGAUGCAGUGUCUGGCACAUGGUAAGCUGACUCUCCAGUUGGUGAACUAUGUGUGACAGGAUCAGGCAACUCACUAUUUAUGCAAUGAUUGAUCUGGUAGGAUUUCAGAGUCUGCUGCACAGUGUAUCAAUUUCUAUAAUAUAAUAAUUAUCUUCCAUAUAGCGGUGUCCUCUGAAGGCAUCGCCCGAGCUGUAUCAUUUAAGAAGAUCUUGGAACUAUCAACAGAUUUGUGCUUGAAGAGGAACGUAUUUUCUCUUAAAGUAACAUCUCUAUUAAUAAAAAAGGAAUGGUUAGUAAAUCAUAUAUUAUAUAUCCAUUUGUUACUUCUGAGUAUUCCAUCAUUGCUACAGCCACUGCUUUUGGUCCGAAUUUGUCAUGCAAAUGUAGCCUUUUUGCUAACAUAGACGUCCCAUCACUCUUAGAUGACUCAUGGUAGGUCUUUUCCCAUGAAAGGCUUCAUAUGGACUAUUGCCUUUUAUAGUUGUUGAGGGCAUUCUAUUGAUGACGUAUGCUGCAACCAAAACAUAAUGACCCCGGAAUUUAAGUGGGAUUCCUCUCUGAAAUCUAAUAGACUCGGAAACUUCUAAAACAUGUAUGUGUUUUCUCUUUUCCACCCCAUUUUUCUGGGUGUGUAGACACAUGUUCUUUGAUGUACUAUCCUAUGAAAUAAUAAGAGCUCCUUGCAUUCAUUGUUUCGGAACUCACUUCGAUAGUCAGAUCUCAUAACUUUAACUGCUUUGUUGAAUUUUGCAUGCACCAUUUUCAAAAACUGUCUUCAAAUGACUACAACAACACUUUUCAAUUUCAGCAAAAAUAACCAAGUAACUUUAGAGUGAUCAUCAACAAUCAUAAUAAAUAAUUUAUUGCUAUCAUAUGAAAUGAUAAUAUAAUAUGUUUAGCUAAUGGGAAAACAGAAGUUUAUUGUAUUGUUUUAGUACUUUCUAUUAAGGGCAAAUAAAGAUAUUUUCUAAUCACUCCAACAGGUGCAUGCCUCAUUCUCUUGUGCCAAAAUCUGUUGUCUGACCUUGUGUUCAAACUCUUAGUUGAUAUUGUAGUGUUCGCAUUAGGAAAUUGAGUUAAUAGGUACAAGCCAUAAUCUUCCUUACCAAUCUCCCUCACUCUGCCAGUGGAAAGGUCGUGGAACACACAGAAAUCCGGCAAAACAAAAAAGAAUAGAACAUUGCAGCUCUUUAGUGAUCUAAGAUACCGACAAAAGGUUAUAUUUAAUAUCAGGAACAUAUAGCACAUUAUUCACUAAUGCCCUUGCUAUAUGGCAAGAUACAACAUGUGAUAUAUGAAUAACACUACCAUUUGGAAGAGGUGCCUUCUUAGUGUUAUUAAGUUUGAUCUUUCAAACAACAUGAUUAAAUAUUAAAUCAUAUGAUUUGUUGCUCCUGUAUCCACAAUCUAGUUUCUAGAAUCAGAAUUGAUCAAUAAUGCUUUGAUACUACCUACCAUAUUGGUUGAAUGUUCUACAUGGUCAUAUUUGAUGAGAAACUUUAGGAUUUGAUUAUACUGUAAAAGUAUGAAGUAUGGACUUGAUAAACCAGUUGCAACAUUCGUACUAUUGUUGUUUCCACCAAAAUCUGUUGCUCUAUGCUCUUCAACUGUCACAUUGUUAGCAGUGUUGUUGUUUCCAAAGUUAGGAGUAUUGUUUCUAAACCUCUUUUUAGGAUUAAAAUCAGCUGGAUAGCCUAUGAUGUUGAUGCAUUCUAAACGUGUAUGUCCCUUCUCUUACAAAAAUCACAUUGCAUAUUAUAAUUCCUCUUUUGUCUUUCAUGCCUCCACUCCUAGAACCCAUUAGAGAUGUCAUCUCUGCUCCUUCAGUAGAAAAAGAAGCAGUAGUCAUGCUCCUUUGACUCUCCGAAUUAGUGAGCAUGGAGUAGGCCUUGUUCAAAGUUGGUGCAUGCAUUAUCAUAAGAAUCUGGCUGCGAGCCUGUUCAUAAGAUUCAUUAAUCCCCAUGAGAAACUAUAGAAGCUUCAAUCGUUCCAUGAAAACGACAAAUUCACUUGACUUAGCAAGGUCACUAUCAGGAAUUGAGGCUAAACAAUCAAAUUCUUCCCAUAAUAACUUCAGUUUCGAAAAAUAUGUUGCUACUGAGCUAGUUCCCUGACUGGUCAUAGCAAUUUGCUUAUGAAUCGGGAAAAUCCUAGAGCAAUCUACCUUAUCAAAUCGCUCUUUCAAUUCAUUCCAAAUUCAACAUGUUUUUGAAAAAUAUACAAUUCCACUUAGCAGUUCAGCUAAAACAUAAUUCACUAUCCAUGAUAGGACAAUGGCGUUACAUCGUUCCCACAUAUCAACAAAAUUUGGACCACAGUCCUCCCUUUUGCAUGUACCUUUGAUGAAUCCUAAAUUGUUGCGAAAAAGGAUAAAAAUUCUUGUCCACAUGCUUUUUUUAAGAGGUAGGGAGUUUUUUCAAUUAAAGUGACGUUUUUGAAAUAGGAUAACUCAGAGUCAGCACUUCAAAUAAUUUAUGGUGUCCCAAGUCACCGGUUUAUUUUGAAUCCCAAAUCGAGAAAAUUUAAAUUUAUUUAAAGGUCCGCGAAACCAGAAGUCUGGAUAAGGAAUUCUGUUAACCUGAGAGAAGGUGUUAGGCAUUCAGGGGUUCCGUGAUUUUAGCACAAUCUCUCAACUAUUAAUAAUUGGCCUAAUUAUCUGAUUUAUUAUAUAUUUAAAAUCUAUUGUGUAUUUUCAAAAUUGAAUUGCUUUUAAUUAUUUAAUUAACCACUUUUAGUAUUCAUGAAAUUUAUUUGAACAAGUUACAAUGUCACUCACUCGUUUGUUUUUGCACAUGUUAUGAAUCGUGUCACAUGAAAUGCACAUGUGAUUUACAACAUGAUCAUUUUUAUUAUUAUUCGAAAUUGUGAUCGAGUUGCAUGAAAUGGUUACUUAAAUUAGAAUUUAUGUAUCGUGACUAUGCCACGGGAAUCUAUAGCCACGAUGAUUUAUUUAAUUAAGAAGGAGAUUUAACUUGUUCAUUUAUAUUUGCAAGUAAAACCAUCAUUACAAAAUCUUGUUUUCGCUGAAGAAGCCAUGUCUCUCUACAAGAAUAUUAUUAACAACUUAGCAUGGUAUUCCAUAACAAAAAAGAACACAAAAUAAGACCAACAAGUUUGAUCAAUAACUGCAGACUUUAACAAGACAAAAGAAAAUCAGAUAGAUAUUAAUUUGACUGGGGAAAUAUUUUUCACAUGCCAAUUCAAUAAUCAACCAUGAAAGGUGCAAAAGCGAACCUGGAAGCAAGCAACUCGACGACUCUUGACCGGCGCUUUCACUGGCGAAGACGGACGGAAUCGGAAACUCCAGACCUUACCGACAACCUCUAACUCUCCUUCGAUGUCCCUGUGUAUGUUCAAAGCAGGGCUCUUCGGGGGUACUUUAAUGGCUGUUUUGAGUUGGAUUUUCGAUGAGUCUUAGGUGCUAAAAAUCACUGGAAUUUAGAGGUGUUUCCAUGGAAUUUAGGUUAGUAGUGUAGGAAUUAGACGGAAGAAGCUCUUUUUGGAAUCGGGUCCUCUCCUUUCCCGUUCUUUUCUUCUUGAAGGGCAAAGCAGCUUUCCCUUUCUUAGGCUUAGAUGUUGGAAUUGUUGAGCAGUUAUAUAUAUAUUUUCAAGUCAAACUCUUUCUUUAUUUCUCUUAAUUUUUGAAUCUCCAAGAAUCUCUUAGACCGUGUUCUAUCCCUCUGUGCCUUUUCUGAGUUUCUGUUGUAGUUUUUAAGAAUGGGAGGGUUAUUGUAGAAGCUUUUUUCUUACAAGGGAGGGGGUGGUCCGUCGUUCUUAGCUUAGGAAUUUAGGUUAGCUUCUUCCCUCUCUUUCGUUCACUCUGUUUUUUUUGAGUGUGUGUAUAUUGUGUAUAUCAAAUUCCAACCAAAUUUGUUCUUGGGCAAGAAGAAAGGAUCGUAGUCGUAGAUGUAAAACGUAUGGACCCCCUCCUUUGUCACGUUCUCUCUGCCUCCCUCUUUUAAUUGUUAAUUGAAAUGGUAUCCUG